RNAcentral lists this long non-coding RNA (202 nucleotides) under Lathyrus oleraceus (garden pea). RNAcentral's name for it is "Pisum sativum (pea) long non-coding RNA (PSAT_LNC026955)". Lineage: Eukaryota; Viridiplantae; Streptophyta; Magnoliopsida; Fabales; Fabaceae. The record is from RNAcentral.
AGAGGUGUAAAAAAACUAUCAUGUACAUCCAUUCCAUGAAAAGAGAUCAAUACAUGUAUAGGUUUUACCAACACAAUAUAGCAUACCAAUAUCAUCAACUACACGAAGAUAAUCAAAAUUAUUAGUAUCUUAGACAUUCAUUUAAAUUGAACACUCAAACUAAAAAUGAUUACAAAUUAAAACAAAAUGAAAACGAAAAAAC